AUGAAAAGCGGAUUUCGAUUAGUGAAUGGAUGCUAUCCUGACCUGGCAAGAGAUCCUGAUCAUUACGAGAUGCUAAUUUUAAACCUCCAAUGCCUUAGAGCAGCAAAUCCAUCAACCCCGGACAAGAAAAUCAAACAAAGUAGUGGCCAGGCUCAAGAAUGUGAAAGUCAAGUUCUAGUACGGCUAUCGCGAUGUGGCCAAUGGAUAAUAAAUAACUUGCUAACCCAACCCAGCAAUCAAACAGAUGCUAGCAACGGCUUUCGCGCUAGAAAACCAAGCCUUGGAUCUCCACAUAGAAGACAAUUCAUUCCAAUACCAAUGAAGCUAAGGCAAUAA
Molecule: ribosomal RNA, 336 nt
Filed under: Triticum aestivum (bread wheat)
Lineage: Eukaryota; Viridiplantae; Streptophyta; Magnoliopsida; Poales; Poaceae
Description: partial small subunit ribosomal RNA
Source: RNAcentral